GUGGGGGAUAUUGCACAAUGGGGGAAACCCUGAUGCAGCGACGCCGCGUGGAGGAAGAAGGUUUUCGGAUUGUAAACUCCUGUCGUUAGGGACGAUAAUGACGGUACCUAACAAGAAAGCACCGGCUAACUACGUGCCAGCAGCCGCGGUAAAACGUAGGGUGCAAGCGUUGUCCGGAAUUACUGGGUGUAAAGGGAGCGCAGGCGGGAAGACAAGUUGGAAGUGAAAACCAUGGGCUCAACCCAUGAAUUGCUUUCAAAACUGUUUUUCUUGAGUAGUGCAGAGGUAGAUGGAAUUCCCGGUGUAGCGGUGGAAUGCGUAGAUAUCGGGAGGAACACCAGUGGCGAAGGCGGUCUACUGGGCACCAACUGACGCUGAGGCUCGAAAGCAUGGGUAGCAAACAGGAUUAGAAACCCCAGUAGUCCG
This 426-nucleotide ribosomal RNA is filed under the name uncultured bacterium. RNAcentral describes it as "bacterial SSU rRNA". It matches the Rfam family "Bacterial small subunit ribosomal RNA", at positions 354 to 797 of the family's 1533-position model. The record is from RNAcentral.